RNAcentral lists this transfer RNA (74 nucleotides) under Ganoderma lucidum Xiangnong No.1. RNAcentral describes it as "tRNA-Gln (CTG) (tRNA-Gln-CTG-3-1)". It matches the Rfam family "tRNA". From Rfam's summary of the family: Transfer RNA (tRNA) molecules are approximately 80 nucleotides in length. Their secondary structure includes four short double-helical elements and three loops (D, anti-codon, and T loops). Lineage: Eukaryota; Fungi; Basidiomycota; Agaricomycetes; Polyporales; Polyporaceae. The record is from RNAcentral.
GGCGCUAUAGUGUAGUGGGGUUAUCACUUGGGAUUCUGAUUCCCAAAACCCAGGUUCGAGCCCUGGUAGCGCCU